GUAACUGCUACGCUUACCCAGACGGCCUCUCUCUUGGUCUUCGGCGGGUACGUGUCUUCCGGCCAGCUCUCUUCCGCUUCUGCUGUCUUGAUGACGCACAGUGCUGGCGCAAGUCGUCUUGCGCCAGGCGACUGGGUCUGAGGAGGCAGGAGUUAUUCAUUCCCUUAAGCUUUCAGGCCGGGGGGAGAAUCUUUCAGGUGGUAGCUGCAAGAACUCUUAGUAUGUUGACCUCACCUCUGCCUUCCACAUACCACUACCAGUGAGGAAUUAGGAAUGCAUGAGAAGAGUGUCCAAGAAGAGUGUCCUCAUUCAUGCAAGGCUUAAGAGAGAAUGCAGGUCAACAUCACCAUGUCAAUCAGAGGUGCAGAUGCUGAGAGCACUUUCUAGUCAAGUCCUGCAUGUUCAUUUCUGUCUCAAGUCAGCUUCUCUGAGAAUCCAAUUUAUAAAAAUAUAUUUGUGAAUGUAUAAGUAAAGUGACUUGGAUUUUGUCUACGUACAAGGACUUCUAUGCCUGCAUAAAACAGGAAAGAGAUCUUCAUGUAAACAGAGUCCCUCUUAUUGGCUGAAGUGAAGAGUCAUUCUG
RNAcentral lists this long non-coding RNA (583 nucleotides) under Homo sapiens (human). Its description in RNAcentral is "HSALNT0401794". The record is from RNAcentral. Lineage: Eukaryota; Metazoa; Chordata; Mammalia; Primates; Hominidae.